Molecule: ribosomal RNA, 781 nt
Filed under: Carnobacterium sp. UPAA77
Lineage: Bacteria; Bacillati; Bacillota; Bacilli; Lactobacillales; Carnobacteriaceae
Description: bacterial SSU rRNA
Rfam family: Bacterial small subunit ribosomal RNA
Source: RNAcentral
CUCAGGACGAACGCUGGCGGCGUGCCUAAUACAUGCAAGUCGAACGCACGAAGUUGAAGAGCUUGCUCUUUAACCAAGUGAGUGGCGGACGGGUGAGUAACACGUGGGUAACCUGCCCAUUAGAGGGGGAUAACAUUCGGAAACGGAUGCUAAUACCGCAUAGUUUCAGGAAUCGCAUGAUUCUUGAAGGAAAGGUGGCUUCGGCUACCACUAAUGGAUGGACCCGCGGCGUAUUAGCUAGUUGGUGAGGUAAUGGCUCACCAAGGCAAUGAUACGUAGCCGACCUGAGAGGGUGAUCGGCCACACUGGGACUGAGACACGGCCCAGACUCCUACGGGAGGCAGCAGUAGGGAAUCUUCCGCAAUGGACGAAAGUCUGACGGAGCAACGCCGCGUGAGUGAAGAAGGUUUUCGGAUCGUAAAACUCUGUUGUUAAAGAAGAACAAGGAUGAGAGUAACUGCUCAUCCCCUGACGGUAUUUAACCAGAAAGCCACGGCUAACUACGUGCCAGCAGCCGCGGUAAUACGUAGGUGGCAAGCGUUGUCCGGAUUUAUUGGGCGUAAAGCGAGCGCAGGCGGUUCUUUAAGUCUGAUGUGAAAGCCCCCGGCUCAACCGGGGAGGGUCAUUGGAAACUGGAGAACUUGAGUGCAGAAGAGGAGAGUGGAAUUCCACGUGUAGCGGUGAAAUGCGUAGAUAUGUGGAGGAACACCAGUGGCGAAGGCGACUCUCUGGUCUGUAACUGACGCUGAGGCUCGAAAGCGUGGGGAGCAAACAGGAUUAG